GGUGGAACUGGCAGACACGCUAGACUUAGGAUCUAGUGCCGCAAGGUAUGAGGGUUCGACUCCCUCUUCUCGCACCA
This 77-nucleotide transfer RNA is filed under the name Bacillota bacterium. Its description in RNAcentral is "tRNA-Leu". It matches the Rfam family "tRNA", at positions 9 to 71 of the family's 71-position model. Rfam says of the family: Transfer RNA (tRNA) molecules are approximately 80 nucleotides in length. Their secondary structure includes four short double-helical elements and three loops (D, anti-codon, and T loops). The record is from RNAcentral. Lineage: Bacteria; Bacillati; Bacillota.